Molecule: long non-coding RNA, 1220 nt
Organism: Astatotilapia calliptera (eastern happy)
Lineage: Eukaryota; Metazoa; Chordata; Actinopteri; Cichliformes; Cichlidae
Source: Ensembl
GCCGUGUUCCACAUAAAAUCAGUUCGAGGACAGUAAGCACAACCAGAAUUCAUACACAAGGCACACUGUCGAUUUUUGAGAAAAUUAAAGGAAAUUAAGUGCGCGUUAUAGUGUAGAAAAUACAGUAUAUAAUGUUUUUCAUAUUUUUAUGGGAUCCUAAAUAUUUUCAACAAUUUAUUACAUUGGAAAUAAAACAAAUUAUACAAUUAUUUUAGAAAUUGCUUUAAAAUAUUUUAAUUGUGUUAACUAUGUUAAUAUUAAAUAUUUCAUUAAAAACGAAUAUAACAUUACUGAUAAAUGUGGGUUUGGUUUGUUUUCUGUCCUCUGUGCGUCCUGAGGUGGAACUCACUCUCUGAUGAGUCUGCAGACGUUGUCGUGGUACGACAGUUUCAGUGAGUCCAUGACCAGGAGGCACGGCCUGCAAACAAUGACAGUGUUACACAACCAUGGAAGGAAACUGGACAAACUGCAAAUAAUACAAAAAAUAAAAAUAAAAAAUAAAAAAAUGAAAACGGUCCACAAAUAUAAAAAAACUGAACAAAAAAGGAAUAAAAACUGGGGAAAAAAUGGAAAUCUGCAUGAAAUGUCAUAAAAGUAAUGAGAAAAAGCAAAUAAACUCAAGAAAAAUGAAGAAGAAAAACAUGAAAAGAAACAUCAUUGACAUGUGUCUGGUAAAAUAAGGAACAGAAACCUCCGUGAUUGAAACGAAAUGAUGUAUAAACUUGAUAAAAUCUGUCAUAUGUGCAGAAAAAGUGACAAGUUAAAUAAAAAAAACAAAACUAGAAUAAAAUCUGAUCAUUUCUGAUUGAUUUCGAUGUAAAAUCUAAUGUGGGUGAACUCUGACCUCUUUAAGACUCUGUCCUUCUUCCAGCCCUGCUCACUGGACUCCUGCAAACACACAACACAGUUACUCAAACCCAGGAUUUUAAAACAAUAACGGAGAAAAACAUCUCAGUGAUUGUAAAGAACGCUGCAUCUCCUCCUCUUCAGCAGCAUCAACUAACCAUCACAUUUCACAUUCAACACAAAGGUCAGCCCAUGUUUUCCCAAACAGAUCUCACUAGAAGAUUCAACACUGAACUGAUCAUCUGAGCCAAAUAAACUGUGUGAACUAAUGAAUGUGCAGCGUGAAAUCUCAGAGGAUCAGUUUUACAUAAAUAUAAAUAAACAGUGUCGUCACAGCUGCAUGAAACGAGGUGGAAACCCUCCACAGACUGAGG